This 600-nucleotide ribosomal RNA is filed under the name uncultured bacterium. RNAcentral describes it as "bacterial SSU rRNA". The stretch from base 1 to 474 matches the Rfam family "Bacterial small subunit ribosomal RNA", at positions 106 to 538 of the family's 1533-position model. The record is from RNAcentral.
GUGAGUAAUGUCUGGAAACUGCCUGAUGGAGGGGGAUAACUACUGGAAAGCGGUAGCUAAGUACCGCAGUAAGCGUCGCAAGAGCCAAAGAGGGGGACCUUCGGGCCUCUUGCCAGUCAGGAGUGUGCCCAGGAGUGGGAGUUAGGCUAGUAGGGUGGGGUAAGCGGCUCACCUAGGCGAGCGAUCCCUAGCUGGUCUGAGGAGGGAGUGAGCCAGGCCACACUGGAGAGCUGAGGAGCAGCGGUCCAGGAGCUCCUAGCGGGAGGGCAGCAGUGGGGAAUAUUGCACAAUGGGCGCAAGCCUGAUGCAGCCAUGCCGCGUGUAUGANGAAGGCCUUCGGGUUGUACNGUACUUUCAGCGGGGAGGAAGGGUGUGUGGUUAGGUAGCCAAGGCAGUUGNCGUUAGCCCGCAGGAGAGGAGGGCAGCCGGCUAACUCCGUGCCAGCAGCCGCGGUCACUAGCCGGNGGGUGCCAGAGGCGUUGGUCGGAGGCUUAGCUGGGCGUAGGGCCGCCCGCNGGCGNGGCCUUGUCGAGGGGUCGGAGCUGUUGAGGGUCCCCCGGGUUCCCACAGCACCNUUUGGGGGGGAAAAGCGUUGGGCCC